MicroRNA precursor from Papio anubis (olive baboon), 46 nucleotides. Lineage: Eukaryota; Metazoa; Chordata; Mammalia; Primates; Cercopithecidae. The record is from Ensembl.
UUGGGCUUUGAUGUGGGCUCAGGCUCAGAGGGCUGAAGUGGUUGUG